Molecule: non-coding RNA, 183 nt
Filed under: Lysobacter soyae
Lineage: Bacteria; Pseudomonadati; Pseudomonadota; Gammaproteobacteria; Lysobacterales; Lysobacteraceae
Description: Lysobacter sp. CJ11 6S RNA
Rfam family: 6S / SsrS RNA
About the family: E. coli 6S RNA was the first non coding RNA to be sequenced, but its function was unknown until recently. It consists of 184 nucleotides that fold into an extended hairpin structure with a large single-stranded internal bulge.
Source: RNAcentral
CAUCUGCUGCCAUGCCCGACAGCAAGCGCAAACAUUCGCCUUGUUCCUUAAUAACGACAUUGGGAAUGUAAUCGAAGCGGGCGUGCAAGCCUGCCACGUGCGGGAAGCCCGAAGCCUCGAAAGCCUGCCCACUUGAACCUCGGGUUCAAGGUCGUUUCGCAAGCAUCGGCAUGGCGGGGAUGU